UGGUCAGACCAUAGAUAGUAUAGAAGACAGCUCGCUAGCGUGUCUAGUCUGUGUAUAUCUGUGGUCGGCACGUCUGGCAGCGUCUCUGGCUGCUGUUGACCUUGUUUUUGGAGUAAAACACGGUGGAAGCUGAAUUAGUGAGGAUGACUCCUGCUCCUGUCAUCUCUAAGCUCCUCACACAUCUUUACCUGCACAUGAGGAAAAUCACUCCUGUAGAAUGCAGAUGUUCAGAGGGAGAUGAUGCCACAUCUGGUCCAGCCGAUGGAAGGUCUUGAAGUUCUCUGACUGGCCUCGACUGAAGAUGGUCGUCUCACUGGAUUUAAGAUGCACAAUGAGGGACGUCUGCAGAGACUGAGAAAGAGUCUCACCACAUCCUGACAUGAGGAAAAAGACUUGAUUGAAGACUACAAUGAGAAAAACUAUCAGACAGCAGACGGCUGCAUUCAAGGUGAGCUCUGAACAUUUGAUCUGGAACAGGAAUUCAAUAACGGCAGCAUGAGCUUCAUUUCAGUCUGUAGCUGCUGAAUUCAUGGAUGAAUCAUCUGGCACUAGAGAGGAAGACCAUCAAACAUCCACGUCAGCUGAUGGAGGUCCAAGAGUCUCACCCAACAAACAACCUACAGAGUGAAGACCUCGAAUCUGAUUGGACAGCCUCCUAUUCAGCCACAUGUGUGAACAAAUGCCUCUAAGUUGAUUUGUUUUCUAAAAUAAAUCUAGUUUGAGUCCUAA
Molecule: long non-coding RNA, 729 nt
Organism: Amphiprion ocellaris (clown anemonefish)
Lineage: Eukaryota; Metazoa; Chordata; Actinopteri; Pomacentridae
Exons: 4
Source: RefSeq, a predicted model, not a curated record